Molecule: ribosomal RNA, 411 nt
Filed under: Actinomycetes bacterium
Lineage: Bacteria; Bacillati; Actinomycetota; Actinomycetes
Description: Actinobacteria bacterium partial 16S ribosomal RNA
Rfam family: Bacterial small subunit ribosomal RNA
Source: RNAcentral
UGGGGAAUAUUGCACAAUGGGCGCAAGCCUGAUGCAGCGACGCCGCGUGGGGGAUGACGGCCUUCGGGUUGUAAACUCCUUUCGCUAGGGACGAAGCUUUUUGUGACGGUACCUAGAUAAGAAGCACCGGCUAACUACGUGCCAGCAGCCGCGGUAAUACGUAGGGUGCGAGCGUUGUCCGGAAUUACUGGGCGUAAAGGGCUCGUAGGUGGUUUGUCGCGUCGUCUGUGAAAUUCCGGGGCUUAACUCCGGGCGUGCAGGCGAUACGGGCAUAACUUGAGUACUGUAGGGGUAACUGGAAUUCCUGGUGUAGCGGUGAAAUGCGCAGAUAUCAGGAGGAACACCGAUGGCGAAGGCAGGUUACUGGGCAGUUACUGAAGCUGAGGAGCGAAAGCAGGGGUAGCGAACAGG